UUUAAUGAGAGUUUGAUCCUGGCUCAGGACGAACGCUGGCGGCGUGCCUAAUACAUGCAAGUAGAACGCUGAUGUUUGGUGUUUACACUAGACUGAUGAGUUGCGAACGGGUGAGUAACGCGUAGGUAACCUGCCUCAUAGCGGGGGAUAACUAUUGGAAACGAUAGCUAAUACCGCAUAAGAGUAAUUAACACAUGUUAGUUAUUUAAAAGGAGCAAUUGCUUCAC
This 227-nucleotide ribosomal RNA is filed under the name Streptococcus agalactiae GB00083. RNAcentral describes it as "partial 16S ribosomal RNA". It matches the Rfam family "Bacterial small subunit ribosomal RNA", at positions 1 to 218 of the family's 1533-position model. The record is from RNAcentral. Lineage: Bacteria; Bacillati; Bacillota; Bacilli; Lactobacillales; Streptococcaceae.